AGGACGAACGCUGGCGGCGUGCUUAACACAUGCAAGUCGAGCGGUAAGGCCCUUCGGGGUACACGAGCGGCGAACGGGUGAGUAACACGUGGGUAACCUGCCCUGUACUGUGGGAUAAGCCUGGGAAACUGGGUCUAAUACCGCAUAUGACUGCAUCCUGCAUGGGGUGUGGUGGAAAGUUCUGGCGGUACAGGAUGGGCCCGCGGCCUAUCAGCUUGUGGUGGGGUGAUGGCCUACCAAGGCGACGACGGGUA
This 254-nucleotide ribosomal RNA is filed under the name uncultured bacterium. Its description in RNAcentral is "partial small subunit ribosomal RNA". It matches the Rfam family "Bacterial small subunit ribosomal RNA", at positions 26 to 285 of the family's 1533-position model. The record is from RNAcentral.